UCAUCCCUCCCACAUCCACCGCUCCAUCGCUCCCGCAUCCCCGCAUCCACCGCUCCAUCGCCAUCCCCUAACCAUCCCGUGCCGCCGUCGCCUUCGAUCCUCCCCGCCGCCAUCGCCGUCCUCCUCCACCGCGUCGCCGACGGCUCCAUUACCGUCCCCUAACCGUCCCGUGCCGCCGCCGCCUUCGCUCCUCCCCGCCGUACUCCACCAGCUCCCUACCCCACUGCUCGCCUCGCCGCUGCCACCGCCUCCGUCGAACCACCGCUGGCGCGGGGAGGACUCCUCGUGGCCGACUCCGAAACCCUAGACACUACCCCCAACGCCGGUCACGCCGUCCGGUCCGUCGCCGCGUCCUCCUCUCCAUCACCCGCCGCCAAGGGAUUCAAGGCCCCUGUUCAGCCCCUUCUGCCACCCCACAUGCCUUCUAUACAGCAUCCUUUGACUAGCAAGCAACCUGGGAAGACCUUGAAGAUUUGAAGACAAGGUUUCCUGGACUUCCUGCUUGGGGACAAGCAGGCUUUCAAGGGGUAGGGAUUGUCAGGAACACGCCAAGCAACGCCAAGGUAGCGGUACAAAAAGAUACAGAAGAGGAGAUCCGUCCUGAUGAAUCUGAAGAGCAAGAGGAAGAAGCUGAAGCUCCAGUGGAGAGCGAUGGCGCGAAGCAAGGAGGAGGAGAACAAGACUUGGUGGCCAAGCGUCGGUCGUCAAGGCCUAUCAAGCCCAACCCACGUUAUCAAGUCUCUCAAUGGGUUGCGUAAAGCAGUUGUCGUUGUAACAGCCUGGCUCUGUCCAGCUGGCGAUGUAUCACGUGAGAGAGAGGAGGAGUAGUAUAUGUACUCAAGUCUAAGAAGAACAGAGACAUGUCUUGAGACUGGCAACUCGGAGGCGAAGGCGGCGGCGGACUCAAUCCUGUUGGAUUGGAGUAUAAUUCCACUAAAGUUGCCUAUCUAUCGUGUGUUCUUGUGUUCUUGUGAUUUGUUUCCCUUUUUCCUGCUUAAAUCAGUGUUGAAUCUUGUAAGAUCCUGUCAGCCGGCUGCAUCAACCCCCCACAUCCCGGCCUCCCACUAGACCACCACCCUCAUCCCGCGGCGGCCUCCAUCGUCGACUCCGCUUCCCCCGUGCGCAGCCCACAUCCACGCCGACAGUCCGUCGCCUACGCCACGUCUCGCAACUGGAUCCGCUCCUCUCCGUCGAUCUCCACCACGGUCCCUUUCGCGCCGCACCGGAAGCUGCCCGCCAGUCCUCUGAUCGUCGCUGGAUGCUGUCGGCGGGUGAUGCAGUACUCACCCGUCUCCCCUCCAUCAGCCGCACCGGAAGCUGCCCGCCAGUCCUCCGAUCGUCGCUGGAUGCUGUCGGCGGGUGAUGCAGUACUCACCCGUCUCCCCUCCAUCACUGAGGGACAUUCCCAUCAACAAAAGGUACACUUGGCGGCAUCACUAAUUUAACUCCAAUCGCUUAUAUACAAAGCUGCCGAGAAUUGAGUUUAAUUUAUGCGGAAGAGUGCUAGGGAGCGGUAUGCUGCUCUUAGUGCUGACGACAAGGAAGCUAGGCUUCAAAAGAUGCGAGAGUACUACCAGCGAAAAAAGAGUAUUGAUCCUGUACCUACCCAUGGUAUUUAAAUUAUUAUCUCACAAACGGCGUAGAUCUGAAGUGAAAUCUUGCCACUGGACACAAGCUCACUCUUCUUCAGGACGUCAGGUUCCUUCAUCACCCGGGUACUCUUUCCUACUGUGAAAAUAAGACCAGUUUCUUCUGUUUGUCCUGUUUUUACUUGAUUAAUUUCUGCGAUAUCAAUUUUUUAACAUGCGAUAGAAAUAUCGUUGAUCUA
Oryza sativa Japonica Group (Japanese rice) is the source of this 1828-nucleotide long non-coding RNA. RefSeq lists it as uncharacterized. Lineage: Eukaryota; Viridiplantae; Streptophyta; Magnoliopsida; Poales; Poaceae. The record is from RefSeq and is a predicted model, not a curated record.